GCCGCAGGAGUCAAACUCGAAAUCUCUGACCAAGCGGCAUCGGUGGGUGCGUGUGUUGAGCCACUACGCUAGGAGAAAGACUGUGAUAUUAUAAAGUUAAAAGUUUAUCUAUAUCAACUUUGAAAUAUUUGAAUUCAAAAUUUGAUUUUGAAUUUCGUCCGAAUUUUUUCCGGUAUUUCGUGGUUACCGUGGGAACCGUGAAUUUCGGUGCCCCUCGAGAAAAAAGCCUCGCUUGGGAUCCAAAACCUUG
Molecule: ribosomal RNA, 250 nt
Filed under: Triticum aestivum (bread wheat)
Lineage: Eukaryota; Viridiplantae; Streptophyta; Magnoliopsida; Poales; Poaceae
Description: partial small subunit ribosomal RNA
Source: RNAcentral